GAAAAGAUGAUUAUUGAAAACCUAGAUUCAUUGAAAACGUGGCUUUUUAAAACCCUCGAACCAAUUUGUGAUGCAGAUCCAUCCGCCCUCGCGAAAUACGUCGUUGCCUUGGUGAAGAAAGACAAGAGCCAGACGGAACUCAAAGCCCUGUGUGUCGACCAGUUGGACGUAUUUCUACAGAAAGAGACGCAGACCUUUGUCGAUAGACUCUUUGAAGCAGUCAACUCCAAAAGCUACCUACCUCAGCAGGACCAUCAGCCAGGUGCCGCGGGCAAAGCGGAGGGACACCUGACCAGGACGGACAAAGACGACCCGAGGAAAGAUGAGCCAAGUCGUGAGGAGGACCGGGACAAGAAGUUCUCCAGGAGAGUGAACUACAGCCCCCCGUCCAGCUCCCGCUACAGUAGAGACAGCAGACGAGGGGAUGACCGUAAAAGGGACGACCGUACCAGGAAACGGAACGACACGACCGCAUCCCCCGAGACGGGACUCGUACCGGGACCGCUACAACCGGAGGAGGGGCCGUAGCUACAGCCGCAGUAGGAGCAGGAGCAAGGACCGGGCCAGGGACCGGGAGAGAGACCGAGACCGCAGUAGCAGGAGUCACAGCAGGAGCCACUCCAAGAGCAGAGAGCGGGAUGCUGGGAGGUCAAAGUACGAGCCCGAUGGAGGAGACCGGGGACGGGGUUGGAGCUGGUGAAGGCCUACUGCCGAUCCCCACGGCAACCGCCACGUUCCCCGUGCCCACCCUCAGCAGCACCAUCACGGUGAUCGCCCCUCAAGGUAACCACAGCAACAACAUCGCCUCGGUGACGGACAGCUGGUCGGACUUCCACCCGGAUCAGUCACUGGACCGGCCCCUUCCGCCACAGAGGAAACGUUGCCGUGACUACGACGAGAAAGGCUUCUGUAUGCGCGGGGACAUUUGCCCGUUCGACCACGGUAUCGAUCCAGUGGUGGUGGAGGACGUUAAUCUGCCUAACAUGUUCCAAGCCCCUCCCCCUAUCCCGGGGGUCGCCCAGCCCCCUCCCGGCCUACCGCCCCCACCAGGACCUCCCCCUCUCAUGACCCCACCUCCCGUCAACCUCCGCCCCCCAGUGCCCCUGACAGGCGGCCUGCCGCCCGGCCUCCCGCCCGGCCCGCCGCCCAGCCUGCUGCCAGGUCCCCCUCACCAGGCAUCAGGGAUGGAUGCCCCUCCUAACUCCAUCGCCAACUCUGUUCCCACUAUUGUAACCACGGGGACACGACCCUCCAUCCCCCAGCCCCCGGCUCCUCUCUUCCCACCAGGCCAGUAUGACUCUGACAUGUAUAACCCUGAGGAUCCCAGCCUCACCAACACCUCCAGACCAGUGUAUCGCCACAGAGUCAACGCCCAAAGACCCAACCUCAUAGGACUGACUAUGGCGGAGGACCUGCCUCACAGAGACAGAGAUCAGAUGCCCAACAGAAUGAGGAUCGUUCUGGACCAUCAUAGGCCUCCAGGAAGAGAUCUGCUGUCUCACACCACGGAGCAAUGCUCCCCAAGAAACCCUGGGCCGAAAAACCAAACUUCAACCAGCAGAACCUCCAGGGUGGGUUCCACAACAAGAACCCUCAGAACCAGAACCAGAAGGCUCCGUUUGGGUCAAACACCAAGCUGUCGGUCCUUCAGAUCCCCCAGGGACUCAACAACAUCUCCAAGCUUAACCAACACUUCAGCAAGUUUGGGACUAUCGUCAACCUGCAGGUAACCUAUGGUAAUGACCCGGAGGGGGCCCUGAUCCAGUUCGACAGUCACCAGGUGCAGCAGCCAGCCACUAGUCUGAAACAGUCCGUCAAAGAUCGUCUGGGCCCUCUGCCUGCCGACAGCUCAGAGCCCAACCGAGACUCUCGUGUUGCCUCACAGAAUGACUUUAAAUCCAACCUAUCAAUGAAGGAGAGGCUGGGCUUCGCCUCUAAACCAGGAAGUACCCCGAGUGGCCCGGCAGGAAAGGUGUUCUCCACCUCUACGGGGCUGACUAAGACAGUGUACAACAUGGCUGCUCUGAAAGCAGCUCAGAAGACGGCUCUGUUCGCUGGGGUCGCUGCUACAGAGGAGGCUAUGAAGAAUAAACAGGAAGCCCUGCGGCUCCAACAGGAAAUGAGGAAGAAGAAGCAGGAAAUCCUGGAAAAACACAUCGAGACUCAGAAGCUGUUGAUCUGUAAACUGGAGAAGAACAAGACGAUGAAGGCAGGAGACAAGGCGGUGAUCAUGACAACGCUGGGAACGCUGACCAAGAGUAUUACCAAACUACAGCAAGAGAUCAAAGGGCUCUCUAACCCUUCGGGAGGACGGGGGGCGCCCAAGAGCAAGGCUCAGGCUCAGAAGGAGUUGCUGGACACAGAACUGGACCUGUAUAAGAAGACCCAGUCUGGAGAAGAUACCGUUCAGCUGAAGAUCAGAUACACACAACUACAGUUAGAGGCAGCUAAGAGGGGGAUCCUGGCUCCAGGGCGGGGCAGAGGGGCUCAUGCUCGAGGCCGUGGGGGCCUGAGAGGCAGGGGGAGGGGAAGGGGUUGCCGGGGGAGGGGUCUCCCUGUCCACUCUACAGUAGAUCACAGACCCAGAGCCCUGGAGAUCUCUGGCUUUACUGAGACUGACCUCCAGGAUCUACUGCCACACUUUGCUCAAUUUGGAGAGUUGGAGGACUGUCAGAUAGACGAGCCAUCCUGUCUGGCUGUUAUCACCUACAGGAGCAGACCAGAGGCUGAACAGGCGGCGCUACACAGUGUCCGUCUGAACGGCAGCGAUCUGCGUCUGUCCUGGCACAAGCCUGCCGUCUCCCUGACCUCCCAGGAGCCUGAUGAGCAGGAGACGGAUCAUGACGAGUUCCAGGAAGAGUCGCUGAUUGAUGAUGCGUUGCUCCAGGACGACGACGAGGAGGAUGACGACAACGAACCCCGCCCCUGGCGCAGAUGAAGACGGCCCCUGAUUGGACGAAAUGCUAACGCAAUUUUGUUUUUCUUUUUUCUUUGCAGUUUCUGAUUGGCUUUUUUUUUUAACUACUAGACUCAUUUCACAAUAGGUCAGAACCUAAACAGUUAAUUAAUUCUGUUGUGGCGAUUCAGAAGAUUACUAGACAAAGUCAUGUGGGAGUUUCAUGUAAAUAUAGUGGUUUAUUCUUCUUCCUGCUUUUAAUUUGUAAAAGUAGUUUAACAUGAAGAUUGGUACAGUUUUUUAAAAUAGUUUCUUUGCUUAUUGGAUUCAAAUGAAAAUGAUACUAGAUUACUUUAGGGGGAAAAAACAUUUUGGCGUUCAGAUCAAAUGAUGCCAUAAAUGAUGCCGUUGUGUUGAAACGCCUGAUGUUUAUUAACGGUGAGAAUCGCAGAAUGGUGAACUAAAAGACGGGAGAGUUUUGACUGUGUGUGAUAUUAGAUUGCUUCUUGUGUAAAUAUUUUCUGUCUGGAUUUUAAUGAUUUGUAAUGACGGCUUUGGCUUCGGGAUUCUUUCUUUCUUGGAUUUAUUUUUGAAAUGUCAAAAUAAAUAAAAUAAAGACUUUAAAAUGGUCAAAAAAAAUAAAUGAAAAAUCAGCUGCAAAAAAAAAAA
This is an RNA transcript of Oncorhynchus gorbuscha (pink salmon), 3565 nucleotides long. It is a transcript of the gene named RNA-binding protein 26-like, with no coding region annotated. The transcript has 21 exons. The record is from RefSeq and is a predicted model, not a curated record. NCBI's taxonomy places the organism in Eukaryota, Metazoa, Chordata, Actinopteri, Salmoniformes, Salmonidae.